RNAcentral lists this microRNA (22 nucleotides) under Gadus morhua (Atlantic cod). RNAcentral describes it as "gmo-miR-130b-3p". Its record names the gene gmo-miR-130b-3p. Lineage: Eukaryota; Metazoa; Chordata; Actinopteri; Gadiformes; Gadidae. The record is from miRBase by way of RNAcentral.
UAGUGCAAUAUUAAAAGGGCAU